Molecule: unclassified non-coding RNA, 405 nt
Filed under: soil metagenome
Description: partial contains 5.8S ribosomal RNA, internal transcribed spacer 2, and large subunit ribosomal RNA
Rfam family: 5.8S ribosomal RNA (bases 1-121)
Source: RNAcentral
GAUGAAGAACGUAGCGAAAUGCGAUAAGUAAUGUGAAUUGCAGAAUUCAGUGAAUCAUCGAAUCUUUGAACGCACCUUGCGCCCUUUGGACAUUCCGAAGGGCAUGCCUGUUUGAGUAUCAUGAACACCUCAACUCUCACGGCUUGUCCGUGAUGAGCUUGGACCUUGGGGGUCUUGCCGGCCUGUGGUCGGCUCCUCUCAAAUGGAUCAGCUUGCCAGUGUUUGGUGGCAUCACAGGUGUGAUAACUAUCUGCGCUUGUGGUUUUCCAUCAGAUAACCUUCAGUGAUAUGGAGGUUCGCUGGAGCUCACAAAUGUCUCUCCUUAGUGAGGACAGCUCUUUGAACGUUUGAUCUCAAAUCAGGUAGGACUACCCGCUGAACUUAAGCAUAUCAAUAAGCGGAGGA